CUCUACUAAAAAUACAAAAAAUUAGCUGGGCGUGGUGGCGGGUGCUUGUCAUCCCAGCUACUCAGGAGGCUGAGGCGGGAGAAUCGCUUGAACCCAGGAGGCAGAGAUUGCAGUGAGCCGAGAUUGCACCACUGCACUCCAGCCUGGGCGAUAUAAGCAAAAUUCCAUCUAAAAAAAAAAAACCUCAUAUUUCAUGAUUCCAUUUAAAGGAAGUGUGUGGAAUUAUCAAAUCUCUAGAGAUAGAAAGUAGAUUAUUGUGUGCCCAGGACUGGAAAGGUUAGGGGUAAAUAGGAGUGACUGGUAAUGAGUAGGGAGUUUUCUUUUCAAGUGUUGGAUUUAUUUUUUGCUUUUGUUUUUGUUUUUGUUUUUUUUUUCGUUGUUGUUAUUUUUUCGUAUAGACAGGGUCUCACUAUGUUGCCCAUGCUGGUCUCGAACUCCUGACCUCAAGCAAUCCUCCCGCCUUGGCCUUGGAAAGUACUGGGAUUACAGAUGUGAGCCACCGCACCUGGCUAAAGUGUGCAAACCUUCGGGAAGGUUUCCCUUGGCCCCCACAGUGCUGGCGUCACAGACAGGAUCCUAAAGCUGCUCUACUUUUCUGGAAGCCACAGUCCAGGGAACCCAGGACCUGACAAAGCAUCAGAAGGCACUUGAGUCCAUGGCUUUGGCAGCCAUAGUGAUCAUGAACUUCCGGCUAUGUCCUAGAGUCAUUUAUCUCCGAGGAUGUCAGGAGGAACCCCAAAAUGUCAUCAAGACACUGGCUACAGGUCUAAACUCCAAUAAAGUCCAGCUGGGUUACAUCAAUUCAGACAUCUGGAUAAAAGGAUGAAUGAAACCAUGUACAUAAUACAGAACUAUGCAUGCCAGGAAAAAAAAUUAUACUGCCUAAAAGCUGCAACCUUCAUGACAUCAAAUGUAUUUUAACACUGGCUGGUUAUGUGAGGAAUAGGCUAAUAAAAAAAAUUCUGGCUGACC
This is a long non-coding RNA of Pongo pygmaeus (Bornean orangutan), 972 nucleotides long. RefSeq lists it as uncharacterized. The record is from RefSeq and is a predicted model, not a curated record. The transcript has 4 exons. NCBI's taxonomy places the organism in Eukaryota, Metazoa, Chordata, Mammalia, Primates, Hominidae.